RNAcentral lists this transfer RNA (71 nucleotides) under Bacteroidota bacterium. Its description in RNAcentral is "Bacteroidetes bacterium (activated sludge metagenome) tRNA-Cys". It matches the Rfam family "tRNA". Rfam says of the family: Transfer RNA (tRNA) molecules are approximately 80 nucleotides in length. Their secondary structure includes four short double-helical elements and three loops (D, anti-codon, and T loops). The record is from RNAcentral. RNAcentral also lists the same sequence under 2 other names. Lineage: Bacteria; Pseudomonadati; Bacteroidota.
GGUCGCGUGGCCGAGCGGUUAGGCAGAGGUCUGCAAAACCUUGUACAGCAGUUCGAAUCUGCUCGCGACCU